This 258-nucleotide ribosomal RNA is filed under the name uncultured bacterium. Its description in RNAcentral is "partial 16S ribosomal RNA". It matches the Rfam family "Bacterial small subunit ribosomal RNA", at positions 96 to 354 of the family's 1533-position model. The record is from RNAcentral.
UGGCGGACGGGUGAGUAACGCGUGGGUAACCUGCCUCAUACAGGGGGAUAACAGUUAGAAAUGACUGCUAAUACCGCAUAAGCGCACGAGAUCGCAUGAUAAGGUGUGAAAAACUCCGGUGGUAUGAGAUGGACCCGCGUCUGAUUAGCUGGUUGGUGGGGUAACGGCCCACCAAGGCGACGAUCAGUAGCCGACCUGAGAGGGUGACCGGCCACAUUGGGACUGAGACACGGCCCAAACUCCUACGGAAGGCAGCAG